AUUUUAAAAAGGGUUAUAAAAAUUAAGGACAUGUUUGGUUCACCUAUUUUAGACUAUGGAAUUAGAAUGAAAUUCAUUAAUUCUAAUAGUUGCCGUUUGUUUUAUAAGAAUCGAAUUUCGAUUUCCAUUCCACUCCGGAAUGUGAAUGACCAAAUUCAUUUAUGAUCUAAUCCGGCUUUAAAUCCCGGAUUGACUCAUUCCAAAGUAAACUAUUCAAAAUCCUCUUUUAUCAACACCUACCUUCUCUUCCUUCAUUACUUUUCUCUCUUUUAAUCAAAACUCUUUUUAAAUUUUCAUUCCGAUUUUCAUUCCAAUAAUAAACCAAACAUUUUUGGAUGAUUCGUCAUUCCAUUUCUCAUUCCUAUUCCAAUCAUAAACAAAAAAAUGCCUUAAAAAUAAUUAUUAAUAAUAAUAAUAAUAAUAAAAGACCCUCCACU
This 437-nucleotide long non-coding RNA is filed under the name Ananas comosus (pineapple). RNAcentral's name for it is "long non-coding RNA (ACOM_LNC008048)". Lineage: Eukaryota; Viridiplantae; Streptophyta; Magnoliopsida; Poales; Bromeliaceae. The record is from RNAcentral.